This is a long non-coding RNA of Peromyscus maniculatus bairdii (prairie deer mouse), 1442 nucleotides long. RefSeq lists it as uncharacterized. The record is from RefSeq and is a predicted model, not a curated record. NCBI's taxonomy places the organism in Eukaryota, Metazoa, Chordata, Mammalia, Rodentia, Cricetidae.
CUGGGCCCUUCUGGCAGUUGGCAGAGGGAGGGUGGGGGCAGCGAUGCAGGCAGGCAGGCUAACGCAGAAAGCACACGGUGUGUAGGAGCAACAGGUGAUAAGUGCAUAUGAAAACAAGUCUGAACCUUCCUGCGCUAGCACUGGGGAUGGAAGUAAAAAUAAAUCGAGGAGUUAAAUCAAGGAUCUCAAGCUGAGACAUGAAAAGUGGUGUUCUUGGAUGUGGAAACUGGAGAGGAGGCAUUUGCUGGGGAGAUGACGGUGUGAAGGUUGGCACGACCCUCUCUGAAUGGAAGGACAGUGAGAACAGGCACCAGAGCGCUGACAGCAGCCUUCUAGUCUAGACUCACCGCCGUUCCUAAGGCUCAGGCUUUCAACUUCCCACUUCUCCUCAGAGUGACAAUUUUGGAGAGAGCUGCCUGUUUUGGCCCCAGACUCCUGAUCCUCAUCCAGACCUUACGUUUAUCAGAGUCCAGAUGGAGAAACCCGGGUCCCAGUGAUGACUUCUCUGGAUGCCCUGCACAUAGCUGAUUACCCAACCCUACCUGGACUUGUUGCUUAGACCACUUGCCUCAAUGGCUUAAUGAUACAGGCAGGAAGGGAGCCGGCACACUUUUCACAGAAGUCAACAGUAACAAGAGAGCGGUGCUAAGAAUUCCGCCAAACCAUGUUUGUUAUCUCCACUUCUUUUUUCUUAGAUAACUGCAUCUUCCCAACUUUUCAGUUAUUCUGAGUGAUAGAACCGACCCUGUCCUCUGCUCUCUGUGUCACGGGCUGCUUCUAUGCAGCCAAUGCUCUGUUGCUUUCGAGCAUGGAUGGAACAGCAGAUUACGCUGUGAAGAGAACAAUUCCUGGUUUGGUCCAAAUAGGUUCAGAUUAGGCUUUACAAACAGGCACCCCCAAAACCCCAGAGCCCUGACCCUGGGAGCUGACUCCACUCCUGCUUUGUCUACACAUCUCUGGGCAGCUUCUUGGCAACCCAGGCUGCAUUUCCUGCCAUCUCGGUGUUCUCAUGAGGAACAUGGCCAAAGGAAGAGAUUGCCACAGACUGACAUCAGGCUUUUCAGUUUCUACCAGAAAGUAAAUGGUGUCAGGCAUGCUCACAUUCAAAUGAACAAAUCCUCCCAGGAGGUAGAAAAUACAUCCCUACUAUGUGUCUUCAGGAAAACUGAAGAAGAGCAUUGGUGACUCCCAAGGAUGACUGAGACAGCUCUGUCCUGCAGCUCUCGCUCUCCUAUUGGCUGAUCUUGUGCUCUUCCUGCUGACAGACCCACAAAUCAGGAAACCAAGCUCAUGGCCUCAUUCUAGAGGGAAGCAGUGGGAGUGUUUAAAAUGUAAAUUAUUACAUAAAAGUGAGUGUGGUGUAAUUCCCAUUUCCAGUAAUCACAUCUGUCCUCGUAUGAACAAAAUAAACUUCCUGGGGUCCUGUGCACUGGCCCAGCGGA